GCGUUCGUAGCUCAGAUGGAUAGAGCGACGGACUUCGAAUCCGUAGGUCGCAGGUUCGAGUCCUGCCGGACGCA
This 74-nucleotide transfer RNA is filed under the name Spirochaetaceae bacterium. RNAcentral's name for it is "tRNA-Arg". It matches the Rfam family "tRNA". From Rfam's summary of the family: Transfer RNA (tRNA) molecules are approximately 80 nucleotides in length. Their secondary structure includes four short double-helical elements and three loops (D, anti-codon, and T loops). Lineage: Bacteria; Pseudomonadati; Spirochaetota; Spirochaetia; Spirochaetales; Spirochaetaceae. The record is from RNAcentral.